RNAcentral lists this ribosomal RNA (274 nucleotides) under uncultured bacterium. RNAcentral describes it as "partial 16S ribosomal RNA". It matches the Rfam family "Bacterial small subunit ribosomal RNA", at positions 523 to 796 of the family's 1533-position model. The record is from RNAcentral.
AUACGGAGGCUGCGAGCGUUAAUCGGAAUUACUGGGCGUAAAGCGUACGUAGGCGGUUUGCUAAGUCAGAUGUGAAAGCCCCGGGCUUAACCUGGGAACUGCAUUUGAUACUGGCAGACUAGAGUAUGAUAGAGGGGGGUAGAAUUCCUGGUGUAGCGGUGAAAUGCGUAGAUAUCAGGAGGAAUACCAGUGGCGAAGGCGGCCCCCUGGAUCAAUACUGACGCUGAGGUACGAAAGCGUGGGGAGCGAACAGGAUUAGAAACCCCAGUAGUCC